RNAcentral lists this unclassified non-coding RNA (147 nucleotides) under uncultured Clavaria. RNAcentral's name for it is "sequence contains ITS1". Lineage: Eukaryota; Fungi; Basidiomycota; Agaricomycetes; Agaricales; Clavariaceae. The record is from RNAcentral.
UUGAUUUUAAAGGAUGUGCUGGCUCUUUGCAUGUGCACUCUUAACAAACCAAUAUCCACCUUUGUGCACAAUCUGUAGGCAUCUUUGCCUAUGUCUCUUUACAAACAACUAUUGAUGUAAUUGAAUGCUUUAUAAAUAUUUGUAAAA